CCUACGUGAGACAGCAGUGGGGAAUAUUGCACAAUGGGGGAAACCCUGCUGCAGCGACGCCGCGGGAGUGAAGAAGUAUUUCGGUAUGUAAAGCUCUAUCAGCAGGGAAGAAAAUGACGGUACCUGAUUAAGAAGCCACGGCUAACUACGUGCCAGCAGCCGCGGUACUACGUAGGGGGCGAGCGUUAUCCGGAUUUACUGGGUGUAAAGGGAGCGUAGACGGCAGCGCAAGUGUGACGUGAAAUGCCGGGGCUUAACCCCGGAACUGCUUUUGAAACUGUGCAGCUAGAGUGCAGGAGAGGUAAGUGGAAUGCCUAGUGUAGCGGUGAAAUGCGUAGAUAUUAGGAGGAACACCAGUGGCGAAGGCGGCUUACUGGACUGUAACUGACGUUGAGGCUCGAAAGCGUGGGGAGCAAACAGGAUUAGAUACCCGGGUAGUC
RNAcentral lists this ribosomal RNA (440 nucleotides) under uncultured bacterium. Its description in RNAcentral is "partial 16S ribosomal RNA". It matches the Rfam family "Bacterial small subunit ribosomal RNA", at positions 338 to 795 of the family's 1533-position model. The record is from RNAcentral.